This 440-nucleotide ribosomal RNA is filed under the name uncultured bacterium. Its description in RNAcentral is "partial 16S ribosomal RNA". It matches the Rfam family "Bacterial small subunit ribosomal RNA", at positions 338 to 795 of the family's 1533-position model. The record is from RNAcentral.
CCUACGGGAGGCUGCAGUGGGGAAUAUUGCACAAUGGGGGAAACCCUGAUGCAGCGACGCCGCGUGAGUGAUGAAGUACUUCGUCAUGUAAAGCUCUAUCAGCAGGGAAGAAAAUGACGGUACCUGAGUAAGAAGCCCCGGCUAACUACGUGCCAGCAGCCGCGGUAAUACGUAGGGGGCAAGCGUUAUCCGGAUUUACUGGGUGUAAAGGGAGCGUAGACGGCAUUGCAAGUCUGAAGUGAAAGGCGGGGGCCCAACCCCCGGACUGCACUGGAAACUGUACGGCUGGAGUGCAGGAGAGGUAGGUGGAAUUCCUAGUGUAGCGGUGAAAUGCGUAGAUAUUAGGAGGAACACCAGUGGCGAAGGCGGCUUACUGGACUGUAACUGACGUUGAGGCUCGAAAGCGUGGGGAGCAAACAGGAUUAGAUACCCCGGUAGUC